AAUUGGUAGACACGCUGCUCUUAGGAAGCAGUGCUCAAGCAUCUCGGUUCGAAUCCGAGUGGCGGCA
RNAcentral lists this transfer RNA (67 nucleotides) under Aegilops longissima. RNAcentral describes it as "partial tRNA-Leu". It matches the Rfam family "tRNA", at positions 14 to 71 of the family's 71-position model. From Rfam's summary of the family: Transfer RNA (tRNA) molecules are approximately 80 nucleotides in length. Their secondary structure includes four short double-helical elements and three loops (D, anti-codon, and T loops). The record is from RNAcentral. Lineage: Eukaryota; Viridiplantae; Streptophyta; Magnoliopsida; Poales; Poaceae.